GACGAACGCUGGCGGCGUGCUUAACACAUGCAAGUCGAACGAAGAGCGAUGGAAGCUUGCUUCUAUCAAUCUUAGUGGCGAACGGGUGAGUAACGCGUAAUCAACCUGCCCUUCAGAGGGGGACAACAGUUGGAAACGACUGCUAAUACCGCAUACGAUCUAAUCUCGGCAUCGAGGAUAGAUGAAAGGUGGCCUCUACAUGUAAGCUAUCACUGAAGGAGGGGAUUGCGUCUGAUUAGCUAGUUGGAGGGGUAACGGCCCACCAAGGCGAGGAUCAGUAGCCGGUCUGAGAGGAUGAACGGCCACAUUGGGACUGAGACACGGCCCAGACUCCUACGGGAGGCAGCAGUGGGGAACCUUCCGCAAUGGACGAAAGUCUGACGGAGCAACGCCGCGUGAGUGAUGACGGCCUUCGGGUUGUAAAGCUCUGUUAAUCGGGACGAAAGGCCUUCUUGCGAAUAGUGAGAAGGAUUGACGGUACCGGAAUAGAAAGCCACGGCUAACUACGUG
This 510-nucleotide ribosomal RNA is filed under the name uncultured bacterium. Its description in RNAcentral is "partial 16S ribosomal RNA". It matches the Rfam family "Bacterial small subunit ribosomal RNA", at positions 28 to 507 of the family's 1533-position model. The record is from RNAcentral.